Molecule: long non-coding RNA, 491 nt
Organism: Hypanus sabinus (Atlantic stingray)
Lineage: Eukaryota; Metazoa; Chordata; Chondrichthyes; Myliobatiformes; Dasyatidae
Exons: 4
Source: RefSeq, a predicted model, not a curated record
CAGGAAUGGUAACACCAUCCAUGGGGCAGACAUCACUGACCAUGUGGAAAUGGCAAGUGCAGGAUCCGGUACUUACCAGUUUAGAAUUCUAGUGAAAAUGGAUCUUAAAGGCAGAGAUCUAUGUUUAGAAUUAUUCUAAUGGACUAAGAGUGACAUAAUUAUAACAAACAGAUAAUAAUGUCCAGAUAUGGAUCUUCAGCUGAAGUUCUGAUAGCAAAGAGUGAUAGAUCUCUGUCAUUGCCUAUGGAAGUGACAUUGCUCCUUGAAAAGUUAGAGCAUCAAUAUGGUAUUUGAGUUUCAUCAUCAAUGAGUUAUCUACCUGGGAGAAUAUCACAGCUGCCAAUAGAAUACUGGAAAGAUUCUCUCAAAUACAUUUCUUAUUCAGUAGUCUGGAACAAGGUCCUCAAUCACUUUAAGUGUUUUUUUUCUUUCACAACGGUGGCACAUUUGUAAGAUUGUAAAAUAUAAAUUGUACCAUAAAUCUUAGUGAA